CCCUUCGGGGUACUCGAGCGGCGAACGGGUGAGUAACACGUGAGCAACCUGCCCCAGGCUCUGGGAUAACCCUCGGAAACGGGGGCUAAUACCGGAUAGGACCUUUCACCGCAUGGUGGGGGGUGGAAAGUUUUUUCGGCCUGGGAUGGGCUCGCGGCCUAUCAGCUUGUUGGUGGGGUGACGGCCUACCAAGGCGACGACGGGUAGCCGGCCUGAGAGGGCGACCGGCCACACCGGGACUGAGACACGGCCCAGACUCCUACGGGAGGCAGCAGUGGGGAAUAUUGCACAAUGGGCGAAAGCCUGAUGCAGCGACGCCGCGUGAGGGAUGACGGCCUUCGGGUUGUAAACCUCUUUCAGCUCCGACGAAGCGCAAGUGACGGUAGGAGCAGAAGAAGCGCCGGCCAACUACGUGCCAGCAGCCGCGGUAAGACGUAGGGCGCGAGCGUUGUCCGGAUUUAUUGGGCGUAAAGAGCUCGUAGGCGGCUUGUCGCGUCAUC
This 500-nucleotide ribosomal RNA is filed under the name uncultured Actinomycetes bacterium. RNAcentral describes it as "bacterial SSU rRNA". It matches the Rfam family "Bacterial small subunit ribosomal RNA", at positions 76 to 592 of the family's 1533-position model. Lineage: Bacteria; Bacillati; Actinomycetota; Actinomycetes. The record is from RNAcentral.